AUCGCGAGGUACGGGCGAGAAGAAGGGAUAGCGAAAUCGUAGCCUGACGAACAGAAACCUAAUACCAAGGCUAGUAUGAUGGAUGAGCGGGCAAAUAGUCGUGAAAUCCAAAAGGCAAUCGUAACUCAUACUGGUAGAUUAGGCAGGUAGACGAGGAAAGAC
Molecule: non-coding RNA, 162 nt
Filed under: chicken gut metagenome
Source: RNAcentral